Molecule: ribosomal RNA, 492 nt
Filed under: uncultured bacterium
Lineage: Bacteria
Description: partial 16S ribosomal RNA
Rfam family: Bacterial small subunit ribosomal RNA
Source: RNAcentral
AGUGAACGCUGGCGGCAUGCCUAACACAUGCAAGUCGAACGGCAGCACAGUAAGAUCUUGCUCCUACGGGUGGCGAGUGGCGGACGGGUGAGGAAUACAUCGGAAUCUACUUUUUCGUGGGGGAUAACGUAGGGAAACUUACGCUAAUACCGCAUACGACCUACGGGUGAAAGCAGGGGAUCUUCGGACCUUGCGCGAUUGAAUGAGCCGAUGUCGGAUUAGCUAGUUGGCGGGGUAAUGGCCCACCAAGGCGACGAUCCGUAGCUGGUCUGAGAGGAUGAUCGGCCACACUGGAACUGAGACACGGUCCAGACUCCUACGGGAGGCAGCAGUGGGGAAUAUUGGGCAAUGGGCGCAAGCCUGAUCCAGCCAUACCGCGUGGGUGAAGAAGGCCUUCGGGUUGUAAAGCCCUUUUGUUGGGAAAGAAAAGCAGCAGGUUGAUACGCCGCUGUUCUGACGGUACCCAAAGAAUAAGCACCGGCUAACUACGUG